AAAAUGCGAUACUUGGUGUGAAUUGCAGAAUCCCGUGAACCAUCGAGUUUUUGAACGCACGUUGCGCCCGAAGCCAUCCGGCUGAGGGCACGCCUGCCUGGGCGUCACGCAUCGCGUCGCUCCCCACCAUACCUCCCCAACGGGUUGGCAUGGUGUUGGGGGCGGAUAAUGGCCUCCCGUGCUUGUGUUUCGGUUGGCCUAAAUAAGAGUUCCCUUCGGCGGACACACGACUAGUGGUGGUUGAAUAGACCCUCGUCUUUUGUUGCGUGUCGUGAGCUGUAAGGGUAGCCCUCAUCAAAGACCCCAUUGUAUCGUCUGCGGAUGAUGCUUCGACCGCGACCCCAGGUCAGGCGGGACUACCCGCUGAACUUAAGC
RNAcentral lists this unclassified non-coding RNA (375 nucleotides) under plant metagenome. Its description in RNAcentral is "partial contains 5.8S ribosomal RNA, internal transcribed spacer 2, and large subunit ribosomal RNA". The stretch from base 1 to 107 matches the Rfam family "5.8S ribosomal RNA", at positions 50 to 154 of the family's 154-position model. The record is from RNAcentral.